Molecule: ribosomal RNA, 951 nt
Filed under: uncultured bacterium
Lineage: Bacteria
Description: bacterial SSU rRNA
Rfam family: Bacterial small subunit ribosomal RNA
Source: RNAcentral
CAGAAUUCGCCCUUAGAGUUUGAUCAUGGCUCAGAUUGAACGCUGGCGGCAUGCCUAACACAUGCAAGUCGAACGGCAGCACAGAGGAGCUUGCUCCUUGGGUGGCGAGUGGCGGACGGGUGAGUAAUGCAUCGGGAUCUACCCUGACGUGGGGGAUAACCUCGGGAAACCGGGACUAAUACCGCAUACGUCCUACGGGAGAAAGCGGGGGACCUUUUAGGCCUCGCGCGGCAGGACGAACCGAUGUGCGAUUAGCUAGUUGGCGGGGUAAUGGCCCACCAAGGCGACGAUCGCUAGCUGGUCUGAGAGGAUGAUCAGCCACACUGGGACUGAGACACGGCCCAGACUCCUACGGGAGGCAGCAGUGGGGAAUAUUGGACAAUGGGCGCAAGCCUGAUCCAGCAAUGCCGCGUGUGUGAAGAAGGCCUUCGGGUUGUAAAGCACUUUUAUCAGGAGCGAAAUCUGCAUGCUUAAUACGUGUGCAGUCUGACGGUACCUGAGGAAUAAGCACCGGCUGACUUCGUGCCAGCAGCCGCGGUAAUACGUAGGGUGCGAGCGUUAAUCGGAAUUACUGGGCGUAAAGGGUGCGCAGGCGGCCUUGUAAGUCAGAUGUGAAAGCCCCGGGCUUAACCUGGGAAUUGCGUUUGAAACUACAAAGCUAGAGUGCAGCAGAGGGGAGUGGAAUUCCAUGUGUAGCAGUGAAAUGCGUAGAGAUGUGGAAGAACACCGAUGGCGAAGGCAGCUCCCUGGGUUGACACUGACGCUCAUGCACGAAAGCGUGGGGAGCAAACAGGAUUAGAUACCCUGGUAGUCCACGCCCUAAACUAUGUCAACUAGUUGUCGGAUCUAAUUAAGGAUUUGGUAACGUAGCUACGCGUGAAGUUGACCGCCUGGGGAGUACGAUCGCAAGAUUAAAACUCAAAGGAAUUGACGGGGACCCGCACAAGCGGU